UACGAAGGGGGCUAGCGUUGCUCGGAAUGACUGGGCGUAAAGGGCGCGUAGGCGGCGUCGACCGUCGGAUGUGAAAUUCCUGGGCUUAACCUGGGGGCUGCAUUCGAUACGUCGGUGCUGGAGUGGGGAAGAGGGUCGUGGAAUUCCCAGUGUAGAGGUGAAAUGCGCAGAUAUCGGGAGGAACACCAAUUGCGAAGGCAGCUCGCUGGGACGUCACUGACGGCUGAGACGCGAAAAGCGUGGGGAGCAAACAGGG
Molecule: ribosomal RNA, 256 nt
Filed under: uncultured bacterium
Lineage: Bacteria
Description: partial 16S ribosomal RNA
Rfam family: Bacterial small subunit ribosomal RNA
Source: RNAcentral